CAUGCAUGUCUAAGUAUAAACGCUUCUAUACUGUGAAACUGCGAAUGGCUCAUUAAAUCAGUUAUAGUUUAUUUGAUGGUUCCUUACUACUUGGAUAACCGUAGUAAUUCUAGAGCUAAUACAUGCAGAAAGUCCCGACUUCUUGGAAGGGAUGUAUUUAUUAGAUCCAAAACCAGCGCGAGUUUCCUUCGGGGGCUCGGUUGCAUGGUGAUUCAUGAUAACUGCUCGAAUCGCAUGGCCUUGCGCCGGCGAUGAUCCAUUCAAAUUUCUGCCCUAUCAACUUUCGAUGGCAAGGUAGUGGCUUGCCAUGGUGACAACGGGUGACGGAGAAUUAGGGUUCGAUUCCGGAGAGGGAGCCUGAGAAACGGCUACCACAUCCAAGGAAGGCAGCAGGCGCGCAAAUUACCCAAUCCCGACUCGGGGAGGUAGUGACAAUAAAUAACAAUGCUGGGCUAUCGUAGUCUGGCAAUUGGAAUGAGUACAAUCUAAACCCCUUAACGAGGAACAAUUGGAGGGCAAGUCUGGUGCCAGCAGCCGCGGUAAUUCCAGCUCCAAUAGCGUAUAUUAAAGUUGUUGCAGUUAAAAAGCUCGUAGUUGGAUUUCGGGGCAGCCCGGCUGGUCCGUCGCGAGGCGAGUACUGGUCGGCCGCCCUUCCUCUCGAAAGCCCCGACUGCUCUUCACUGUAGUGGUCGGGGAGUUCGGGACGUUUACUUUGAAAAAAUUAGAGUGUUCAAGGCAGGCCAUCGCCUGAAUACAUUAGCAUGGAAUAAUGGAAGAGGACCUCGGUCCUAUUUUGUUGGUUUCUAGGGCCGAAGUAAUGAUUAAGAGGGACAGUUGGGGGCAUUCGUAUUUAAUUGUCAGAGGUGAAAUUCUCGGAUUUAUGAAAGACGAACAACUGCGAAAGCAUUUGCCAAGGAUGUUUUCAUUAAUCAAGAACGAAAGUUAGGGGUUCGA
This 954-nucleotide ribosomal RNA is filed under the name Ceratoporella nicholsoni. Its description in RNAcentral is "SSU rRNA". It matches the Rfam family "Eukaryotic small subunit ribosomal RNA", at positions 50 to 1001 of the family's 1831-position model. Lineage: Eukaryota; Metazoa; Porifera; Demospongiae; Agelasida; Astroscleridae. The record is from RNAcentral.